RNAcentral lists this ribosomal RNA (525 nucleotides) under Salmonella enterica. Its description in RNAcentral is "partial 23S ribosomal RNA". It matches the Rfam family "Bacterial large subunit ribosomal RNA", at positions 1273 to 1791 of the family's 2925-position model. Lineage: Bacteria; Pseudomonadati; Pseudomonadota; Gammaproteobacteria; Enterobacterales; Enterobacteriaceae. The record is from RNAcentral. RNAcentral also lists the same sequence under 1 other name.
CUGGAGGUAUCAGAAGUGCGAAUGCUGACAUAAGUAACGAUAAAGCGGGUGAAAAGCCCGCUCGCCGGAAGACCAAGGGUUCCUGUCCAACGUUAAUCGGGGCAGGGUGAGUCGACCCCUAAGGCGAGGCCGAAAGGCGUAGUCGAUGGGAAACGGGUUAAUAUUCCCGUACUUGGUGUUACUGCGAAGGGGGGACGGAGAAGGCUAUGUUGGCCGGGCGACGGUUGUCCCGGUUUAAGCGUGUAGGUGUGUGUUCCAGGUAAAUCCGGUUCACUUUAACACUGAGGCGUGACGACGAGGCACUACGGUGCUGAAGCAACAAAUGCCCUGCUUCCAGGAAAAGCCUCUAAGCAUCAGGUAACAUCAAAUCGUACCCCAAACCGACACAGGUGGUCAGGUAGAGAAUACCAAGGCGCUUGAGAGAACUCGGGUGAAGGAACUAGGCAAAAUGGUGCCGUAACUUCGGGAGAAGGCACGCUGACACGUAGGUGAAGUGAUUUACUCAUGGAGCUGAAGUCAGUCGAA